GGAUAAUAAAGACAAGAUGAGUUAUGCCGGGACAGGUGACCAACUUGAAGUUUAACGGCCGCGGUAUAUUGACCGUGCUAAGGUAGCGCAAUCACUUGUCUUUUGAUGGAGACCUGUAUGAAUGGCACGACGAGGGCUUAACUGUCUCCUCUUUCAAGUCAAUGAAAUUGAUCUCUCCGUGCAGAAGCGGAGAUAAUAUCAUAAGACGAGAAGACCCUAUGGAGCUUUAGACACCAAAGCAGAUUACGUUAACACACUCAAAUUUAAUGGCCCAAACAAAAUUCUUACUGCCCUAUUGUCUUCGGUUGGGGCGACCACGGAGAUACAUUUAACCCCCGCGCGGAACGGGAUUACCCUUCCCUAAGCUAAUAGCGUCCGCUCUAAGCAACAGAUAUUCUGACCUUCAUAUCCGGACAACCCGAUCAACGGACCAAGUUACCCUAGGGAUAACAGCGCAAUUUCCUUUUAGAGUCCAUAUCGACAAGGGGGUUUACGACCUCGAUGUUGGAUCAAGACAUCCUAAUGGUGCAGCCGCUAUUAAGGGUUCGUUUGUUCAACGAUUAAAGUCCUACGUGAUCUGUUUUAACAAACGGGGA
RNAcentral lists this ribosomal RNA (596 nucleotides) under Oxycheilinus unifasciatus (ringtail Maori wrasse). RNAcentral describes it as "partial large subunit ribosomal RNA". It matches the Rfam family "Bacterial large subunit ribosomal RNA", at positions 1869 to 2624 of the family's 2925-position model. The record is from RNAcentral. Lineage: Eukaryota; Metazoa; Chordata; Actinopteri; Labriformes; Labridae.